This 471-nucleotide long non-coding RNA is filed under the name Pan troglodytes (chimpanzee). RNAcentral describes it as "long non-coding RNA NONPTRT009131". The record is from RNAcentral. Lineage: Eukaryota; Metazoa; Chordata; Mammalia; Primates; Hominidae.
UUCCCACAGUACAAGGCCCCACAUUUCUGUGCUAUUUCUAUUUCAUUUAAGUUUUUCUAUGAACCUUUCAAUUCUCUCUAAAAUCACCCCCUUCAAAUCAGUGAUUCCUUGUCAAAUCUAGCCAAAGGAAAGCAACAGCAAUGCUAAGGUUCUAUUUUUUGACUUCUUUCCUGAGAGUUUCUGGCUCAGAACCCAAAAAGAGAGUUGGAUGGAAUCUCAGCCAUUUCUUAGGCAAAGUGGGCCCUUUGCCAUCAGCAUCAUAAUUUUGCUGACCAUGUAUGACUUCUAGUAAAUUCAAGGUCUUGUGCAUCCCAUUAGACAGUGUGUAAGGGAGAGCAGGGAAGUCCAAAAAGCUAGGAUUUCAGGGUGUACCUAAAAGGUCAACUAACCAGAAAAACAGGAAGAAAGCAGAUUAAAUGAGGAUAACCCACUUCAUUAUUAGAGAAUUAGGGAGAAUGAAUCCCGGAUCCC